RNAcentral lists this ribosomal RNA (1359 nucleotides) under uncultured bacterium. Its description in RNAcentral is "bacterial SSU rRNA". It matches the Rfam family "Bacterial small subunit ribosomal RNA", at positions 45 to 1395 of the family's 1533-position model. The record is from RNAcentral.
GGCCUAACACAUGCAAGUCGAACGGCAGCACGGGGGCAACCCUGGUGGCGAGUGGCGAACGGGUGAGUAAUGUAUCGGAACGUACCCCGUCGUGGGGGAUAACUCUCCGAAAGGAGGGCUAAUACCGCAUACGACCUGAGGGUGAAAGCGGGGGACCUGCAAGGGCCUCGCGCGAUGGGAGCGGCCGAUAUCGGAUUAGCUAGUUGGUGAGGUAAAGGCUCACCAAGGCGACGAUCCGUAGCGGGUCUGAGAGGACGACCCGCCACACUGGAACUGAGACACGGUCCAGACUCCUACGGGAGGCAGCAGUGGGGAAUUUUGGACAAUGGGGGAAACCCUGAUCCAGCCAUUCCGCGUGAGUGAAGAAGGCCUUCGGGUUGUAAAGCUCUUUCAGCAGGAACGAAACGGUAGGCUUUAAUACAGUCUGCUAAUGACGGUACCUGCAGAAGAAGCACCGGCUAACUACGUGCCAGCAGCCGCGGUAAUACGUAGGGUGCGAGCGUUAAUCGGAAUUACUGGGCGUAAAGCGUGCGCAGGCGGCGACAUAAGACAGAUGUGAAAUCCCCGGGCUCAACCUGGGAACUGCGUUUGUGACUGUGUUGCUAGAGUGUAGCAGAGGGGGGUGGAAUUCCACGUGUAGCAGCGAAAUGCGUAGAGAUGUGGAGGAACACCGAUGGCGAAGGCAGCCCCCUGGGUUAACACUGACGCUCAUGCACGAAAGCGUGGGGAGCAAACAGGAUUAGAUACCCUGGUAGUCCACGCCCUAAACGAUGCCAACUAGGUGUUGGGGGGAGGAGACUUCCUUAGUACCGUAGCUAACGCGUGAAGUUGGCCGCCUGGGGAGUACGGUCGCAAGAUUAAAACUCAAAGGAAUUGACGGGGACCCGCACAAGCGGUGGAUGAUGUGGAUUAAUUCGAUGCAACGCGAAAAACCUUACCUACCCUUGACAUGUCCGGAAUCCUGAAGAGAUUUGGGAGUGCUCGAAAGAGAACCGGAACACAGGUGCUGCAUGGCUGUCGUCAGCUCGUGUCGUGAGAUGUUGGGUUAAGUCCCGCAACGAGCGCAACCCUUAUCAUUAGUUGCCAUCAUUUAGUUGGGCACUCUAAUGAGACUGCCGGUGACAAACCGGAGGAAGGUGGGGAUGACGUCAAGUCCUCAUGGCCCUUAUGGGUAGGGCUUCACGCGUCAUACAAUGGUCGGUACAGAGGGUUGCCAACCCGCGAGGGGGAGCUAAUCUCACAAAGCCGAUCGUAGUCCGGAUCGCAGUCUGCAACUCGACUGCGUGAAGUCGGAAUCGCUAGUAAUCGUGGAUCAGCAUGUCACGGUGAAUACGUUCCCGGGCCUUGUACACACCGCCC